UGAUAUAUAAACUGCAACACA
RNAcentral lists this non-coding RNA (21 nucleotides) under Caenorhabditis elegans. Lineage: Eukaryota; Metazoa; Nematoda; Chromadorea; Rhabditida; Rhabditidae. The record is from RNAcentral.